This 440-nucleotide ribosomal RNA is filed under the name uncultured bacterium. Its description in RNAcentral is "partial 16S ribosomal RNA". It matches the Rfam family "Bacterial small subunit ribosomal RNA", at positions 338 to 795 of the family's 1533-position model. The record is from RNAcentral.
CCUACGGGAGGCAGCAGUGGGGAAUAUUGCACAAUGGGGGAAACCCUGAUGCAGCGACGCCGCGUGAGCGAUGAAGUAUUUCGGUAUGUAAAGCUCUAUCAGCAGGGAAGAAGAUGACGGUACCUGACUAAGAAGCCCCGGCUAACUACGUGCCAGCAGCCGCGGUAAUACGGAGGGGGCAAGCGUUAUCCGGAUUUACUGGGUGUAAAGGGAGCGUAGACGGCGAUGCAAGACAGAUGUCAAAGCCCGGGGCUCAACCCCGGGACUGCAUGUGAAACUGUGUGGCUGGAGUGUCGGAGAGGAAGGCGGAAUUCCUGGUGUAGCGGUGAAAUGCGUAGAUAUUAGGAGGAAUACCAGUGGCGAAGGCGGCAAGCUGGACGAUGACUGACGUUGAGGCGCGAAAGCGUGGGGAGCAAACAGGAUUAGAUACCCGAGUAGUC